RNAcentral lists this long non-coding RNA (336 nucleotides) under Populus tremula. Its description in RNAcentral is "long non-coding RNA (PTRE_LNC002738)". The record is from RNAcentral. Lineage: Eukaryota; Viridiplantae; Streptophyta; Magnoliopsida; Malpighiales; Salicaceae.
ACAACAGUGCCAAGACAGAAUUAGCAGAAUAUGUCAGCUGCUGAAGAUGAGUUUCCGGCCAUCUGAAGGGAAACUGGAUAUUGCACCAGAGAACCGCAAUGUCCACUAUUAACAGCAAUAACUUGCAACUGACUUGAGCUACUGGCAGGUGUUUCAGUGAGAGGCAUUCCCUUGGCAGCCACUGCAGGUGUUUCGGUGAGAGGCAUUCCCUUGGCAGCCACUCCCUUCAGCCGGUAUCGCUCUGCCCGAGAUCCAAUAACCUGUCCUAAUAUAGAUGCUCCAAUGGUAAAUGCCAUGGCUGACUUUGGCAUCAAUAUGGAUUUCCUAAGCAUGGCU